Molecule: long non-coding RNA, 446 nt
Organism: Dendroctonus ponderosae (mountain pine beetle)
Lineage: Eukaryota; Metazoa; Arthropoda; Insecta; Coleoptera; Curculionidae
Exons: 2
Source: RefSeq, a predicted model, not a curated record
CCGGCGGCCAGAGCCGUCGCGAGCAGCAGCGGAGCAACAAGCAAGCACUUCAUUGCAGAUUUAUCUGAAGAAGUUCCAGGCAGGUUUGAUGUUUGAGCGGAAUUUGCGCAGUUUAUCUACGAGCUGUUGAAGUGCUUUGUCAAGGUCUGGGCCGAUUAGAUGCUGUUUGAGUACCAGGCGAGUGGAAUUGUUCAAAACCAGUAUGGAUGGUCUAUCGAUUGCAUUCCAUCUAAAUCUUUGAGCCGAUUUAUCCAGAGCCUAGAGUUUCUGGCCAACGAAUUUUCUAUCCUCUAAGCAGUGGAAGAAAAACGGUGCACGCCAAUGGUUUUGCUGCCAAGAAAAAUUAGUUUUUAAUUCUGCAUGCCGUUGGUAACAAAAAGUUAUUUUAGGAUUUUUUGCUAGCAUCGACAGUUUAUGGUAAAUAAAAUUAAAAUUCUUGAAUUGUC